ACGGAAGGCAGCAGUGGGGAAUAUUGGGCAAUGGGCGAAAGCCUGACCCAGCAACGCCGCGUGAAGGAAGAAGGUCUUCGGAUUGUAAACUUCUUUUAUAAGGGACGAAGAAAGUGACGGUACCUUAUGAAUAAGCCACGGCUAACUACGUGCCAGCAGCCGCGGUAAUACGUAUGGAGCAAGCGUCAUCCGGAUUUACUGGGUGUAAAGGGAGCGUAGACGGCAAAGCAAGUCUGAAGUGAAAUCCCGGGGCUCAACCCCGGAACUGCUUUGGAAACUGUUUAGCUAGAGUGCAGGAGAGGUAAGCGGAAUUCCUAGUGUAGCGGUGAAAUGCGUAGAUAUUAGGAGGAACACCAGUGGCGAAGGCGGCUUACUGGACUGUAACUGACGUUGAGGCUCGAAAGCGUGGGGAGCAAACAGGAUUAGAUACCCUGGUA
RNAcentral lists this ribosomal RNA (437 nucleotides) under uncultured Lachnospiraceae bacterium. Its description in RNAcentral is "partial 16S ribosomal RNA". It matches the Rfam family "Bacterial small subunit ribosomal RNA", at positions 341 to 792 of the family's 1533-position model. Lineage: Bacteria; Bacillati; Bacillota; Clostridia; Lachnospirales; Lachnospiraceae. The record is from RNAcentral.